GCAGAAGCAACCAUAAAAAAAACAAAAAUCUUAAAAAAAAUGCCCCCAGAAAAGAGAACUUUAUUUAUCAAGUGCGGGAGGAAGAGAGAGACAAGAAAGCCUAGUUAAAUGAUAAAUUGUCCGACACAGGACCACACGACCAUUUUCAUAUGAUUGACGUGUAGACAAAUGCUACAACCGAGCCUCCCCAGGGUCUGGAGAUGUUCU
This 207-nucleotide long non-coding RNA is filed under the name Drosophila guanche. Lineage: Eukaryota; Metazoa; Arthropoda; Insecta; Diptera; Drosophilidae. The record is from RNAcentral.